CAGCAGGGGAUAACUGAGUAGUGAGCCGCAUAUUUCUCGAAUUAGCACACGCUUGUAUUUCUUGUUUUUUCUAUUUUAUGCAAGAUUGCAGGAGAAAUGAGUAUUUUAGUUAUUUUAGCGUAGGUGAACUUAUACAGCUUGCUUGGUAGACAGAUCACAAUUACCAAAAAAGCCGGAAAAACAAUAACGUAGCUCUUUUCGAGCACAGCAGCUGUUGUGUCAGCUGCGAACUGCGAAUUCGAGUUCCUUACAAAAAAUCUAAGCCAUGUGCCAUAUUCAUAUAAGCACAAAUCUCAUCUUAUCACUUAGUUUUAUAGGUAAAGUUUAAAUGUGGACAACUAUUGGUGUUUUGUGCCAUAAAGCGUAGUGGAAUUUUAAUUAGCUAAAAGGUCUCAUAUCUGCUGCUACAAGGAACAAUUUACAGACCGGAAAUGCAGUGUAGCAUUGUUGUAACUCGGCCCUGCCAUUUGGCCGUUGCGGAUAUACCGAGUUCGUCUGCAACGACCUCGGAACCAUCUCCCCUAUGAGAUCAGAGUGGAUAGCCACCUAUCGAACGACUACCGCCUGUCUAUACGUUACCACCGAAAUGGUCAGCAAGAUGAAUAUAGGCUGGAGGUUUUUAGGCGAAUAUAAGACUGUCAGCGUUCGCGUCUACAUUUAAAAGGCGCAGUUCAUAUUGCCGCUUGCUAAAAGUAUGCACGGAGUUUUCAUGUCGUCGCGCACGAAGACGGCAUCGGUCGAUAGUCUGAACGCAAGCUCAAGUAUUCAUUGCGUCAAGAGUUACUCAACUGCGCGUUGGAGAACAGGCAUAGACGUGCACGUUGCUCUAGAUUAAUUGUGGUGGUUACGAUGCCCCUCUGCAAUGGAAACUCGUGUGCCUCAAGCAAAAAUUUGUCGAGAACGAGCAAUGCUUAUCCUCUUCGCCGAUAAUUGUUAUCAUAUCAGUAAAAAACAAUUUCAGAUUGGAUGUCCACGUUUCACGAAUAGCCAUGUUACUGCAAUGGUCGUCGUAUAAAAUCAUGUCACCUGCAAUGUCUCUAUAAAGCUGCGAUGUAUACGAAACACAGUCAAGUAACGAUAUAACUGGUGUACUUCAGCUAAUAUAUCAGUGUUAAAAUACCAACCUUAAUUAUUCAAUUUUUACCAGCAUUAGCCCGCAUGUUGAGUACCCGAGGCUUGCCUCUUUCCGUGUGUUGAUUUUGAUAUCAACAUAUUGACGAGCCUUUUGCCUACGAUUCGUGUUAGACUAUGUGAACUUGGUGUUAUGGAUAAAUCGUUUCCAUUUAUACCGCAUUCAGUGUGUCUUUGUAUGCCUGCUAUUCCAUGAGACCUUCACUACUGAAGCGGUAUUUCGUAAAUCCACGGUGGUGAGGGCAUUCUUCCUUAUCAGUCUAUUUUAUUUUUUUACUCCUAUUAAACCUGGAAGUCUUAAGGAUCCAUAUAAAGCAACCUAUAUAUAUAAGUGGGACAAGAUAAGACAGUUAAUAAAACAAGCACAAAUAACCAUCAAUGAACCUGUUGUCGUGUUUUAGCUGCUCGAUUAACCCGUUCCAUCUACACCAUUAAAGUUUUACCGUGUAAUCCCAGGCUUAACGAGAUUAGAAAAGCGCUACGAAGCGGUUUUAUGAUUUAAUUCACGUAAUAAAAAGUCGUUUUAUAAUAAUAAAAAAAAAAAGAAACACGGAAAAAUUAAUUCCUCUUUAUACCUGCAUGGAUUGCACUGUAAAAGCACUGAGACAGGUAAAGUGAACAAUUCUUAUAUCCAAACAUUUUUUAGUUUCAACGGUUGCCGCGAAGAUGA
RNAcentral lists this long non-coding RNA (1801 nucleotides) under Varroa destructor (honeybee mite). RNAcentral's name for it is "uncharacterized LOC111253682, transcript variant X6". The record is from RNAcentral. Lineage: Eukaryota; Metazoa; Arthropoda; Arachnida; Mesostigmata; Varroidae.